This 371-nucleotide ribosomal RNA is filed under the name uncultured organism. RNAcentral's name for it is "bacterial LSU rRNA". It matches the Rfam family "Bacterial large subunit ribosomal RNA", at positions 2117 to 2486 of the family's 2925-position model. The record is from RNAcentral.
CUGGAUGAUUGGACUUUAUUUGCGCAGCAUAGGUGGGAGGCGUUGAGAAUAUUCUUGCGGGAAUAUUGGAGUCAUCAGUGAGAUACCACUCUUGUAAUGUUAGAUUUCUAACUUUGUAUCAUUAUCUGGUCAAAGGACAGUUUCAGGCGGGCAGUUUGACUGGGGCGGUCGCCUCCCAAACGGUAACGGAGGCGCACAAAGGUUUCCUCUGAACGUGUAGAAAUCGUAUCUAGAGUGUAAAGGCAUAAGGAAGCUUGACUGUGAGACCUACAAGUCGAGCAGGGACGAAAGUCGGUCUUAGUGAUCUGACGGUGCUGAGUGGAAAGGCCGUCACUCAACGGAUAAAAGUUACUCUAGGGAAACAGGCUGAA